GGAUUGAGAGGGAAGAUGAGAGGGGAAGGUAGGAGUAACAAAAGUUGAAAGAAAAAUUAAAAAUUGAAAUCUACUUGAAAUUGUUUUCACUUUUGUUACUCAUCUCUCCCACCCUUCCCUCUCAUCCUCUCUCAUUCUUAUGA
This 143-nucleotide microRNA precursor is filed under the name Prunus dulcis (almond). RNAcentral's name for it is "sRNA ncRNA". The record is from RNAcentral. Lineage: Eukaryota; Viridiplantae; Streptophyta; Magnoliopsida; Rosales; Rosaceae.